RNAcentral lists this ribosomal RNA (460 nucleotides) under uncultured bacterium. Its description in RNAcentral is "partial 16S ribosomal RNA". It matches the Rfam family "Bacterial small subunit ribosomal RNA", at positions 338 to 795 of the family's 1533-position model. The record is from RNAcentral.
CCUACGGGAGGCAGCAGUGAGGAAUAUUGGUCAAUGGCCGGAAGGCUUAACCAGCCAAGCCGCGUGAGGGAGGAAGGCGCAGAGCGUCGCAGACCUCUUUUGCCGGGGGACAAAAGGCCGGACUCGUCCGGUCCUGAGGGUACCCGGAGAAAAAGCAUCGGCUAACUCCGUGCCAGCAGCCGCGGUAAUACGUAGGGGGCAAGCGUUAUCCGGAUUUACUGGGUGUAAAGGGAGCGUAGACGGUUAUGUAAGUCUGGAGUGAAAGCCCGGGGCCCAACCCCGGGACUGCUUUGGAAACUGUGUAACUGGAGUACAGGAGGGGCAGGCGGAAUUCCUGGUGUAGCGGUGAAAUGCGUAGAUAUCAGGAGGAACACCGGCGGCGAAGGCGGCCUGCUGGACUGAAACUGACGUUGAGGCUCGAAAGCGUGGGGAGCAAACAGGAUUAGAUACCCCAGUAGUC